UUGGAUUUUGAUACAAGUUGCAUUAUCAAGUAUUUGAUGUGACUUCACUUUAAAUCCAUACAUUAAAGUCGGGCCUUCUGAAGACUUUCUUAUGUUUAGCUUUGUAAGAUAGACAGAUACGAGGCCCACAUUC
RNAcentral lists this small nucleolar RNA (133 nucleotides) under Operophtera brumata (winter moth). Its description in RNAcentral is "Small Cajal body specific RNA 8". It matches the Rfam family "Small Cajal body specific RNA 8". From Rfam's summary of the family: scaRNAs are a specific class of small nuclear RNAs which localise to the Cajal bodies and guide the modification of RNA polymerase II transcribed spliceosomal RNAs U1, U2, U4, U5 and U12. U92 belong to the H/ACA box class of guide RNAs as it has the predicted hairpin-hinge-hairpin-tail structure, conserved H/ACA-box motifs and is found associated with GAR1. Its is predicted to guide the pseudouridylation of residues U44 in U2 snRNA. Lineage: Eukaryota; Metazoa; Arthropoda; Insecta; Lepidoptera; Geometridae. The record is from Rfam by way of RNAcentral.